Molecule: ribosomal RNA, 468 nt
Filed under: uncultured bacterium
Lineage: Bacteria
Description: partial 16S ribosomal RNA
Rfam family: Bacterial small subunit ribosomal RNA
Source: RNAcentral
GACGAACGCUGGCGGCGUGCUUAACACAUGCAAGUCGAACGGAAAGGCCCUGCUUUUGUGGGGUGCUCGAGUGGCGAACGGGUGAGUAACACGUGAGUAACCUGCCCUUGACUUUGGGAUAACUUCAGGAAACUGGGGCUAAUACCGGAUAGGAGCUCCUGCUGCAUGGUGGGGGUUGGAAAGUUUCGGCGGUUGGUGAUGGACUCGCGGCUUAUCAGCUUGUUGGUGAGGUAGUGGCUUACCAAGGCUUUGACGGGUAGCCGGCCUGAGAGGGUGACCGGCCAAAUUGGGACGGAAAUAAGGCCCAGACUCGAAUGGGAGGCAGCAGUGGGGAAUAUUGUACAAUGGGCGGAAGCCUGAUGCAGCAACGCCGCGUGCGGGAUGACGGCCUUCGGGUUGUAAACCGCUUUCGCCUGUGACGAAGCGUGAGUGACGGUAAUGGGUAAAGAAGCACCGGCUAACUACGUG